UACGUAGGGGGCAAGCGUUGUCCGGAUUUAUUGGGCGUAAAGAGCGUGUAGGCGGUUCGGUAGGUCCGUUGUGAAAACUCGAGGCUCAACCUCGAGACGCCGAUGGAAACCCCCGAACUAGAGUCCGGAAGAGGAGAAUGGAAUUCCUGGUGUAGCGGUGAAAUGCGCAGAUAUCAGGAAGAACACCAAUGGCGAAGGCAGCUCGCUGGGACGUGACUGACGCUGAGACGCGAAAGCGUGGGGAGCAAACAGG
Molecule: ribosomal RNA, 253 nt
Filed under: uncultured bacterium
Lineage: Bacteria
Description: partial 16S ribosomal RNA
Rfam family: Bacterial small subunit ribosomal RNA
Source: RNAcentral